CAGUCGCCGCGGUAAUACAGAGGGUGCGAGCGUUAAUCGGAUUUACUGGGCGUAAAGCGUGCGUAGGCGGCUUUUUAAGUCGGAUGUGAAAUCCCUGAGCUUAACUUAGGAAUUGCAUUCGAUACUGGGAAGCUAGAGUAUGGGAGAGGAUGGUAGAAUUCCAGGUGUAGCGGUGAAAUGCGUAGAGAUCUGGAGGAAUACCGAUGGCGAAGGCAGCCAUCUGGCCUAAUGCUGACGCUGAGGUACGAAAGCAUGGGGAGCAAACAGGAUUAGAUACCCCUGUAGUCCCUGUCUCUUAUAC
This 301-nucleotide ribosomal RNA is filed under the name uncultured bacterium. RNAcentral describes it as "partial 16S ribosomal RNA". It matches the Rfam family "Bacterial small subunit ribosomal RNA", at positions 509 to 807 of the family's 1533-position model. The record is from RNAcentral.